GGAGACAACAACACACAGGUCAGGAGACAACAACACAGGUCAGGAGACAACAAAACACAGGUCAGGAGACAGCAACACAGGUCAGGAGACAACAACACAGGUCAGGAGACAACAACACAGGUCAGGAGACAGCAACACAGGUCAGGAGACAACAAAACACAGGUCAGGAGACAACAACACAGGUCAGGAGACAGCAACACAGGUCAGGAGACAGCAACACAGGUCAGGAGACAACAACACAGGUCAGGAGACAACAACACAGGUCAGGAGACAACAACACAGGUCAGGAGACAGCAACACAGGUCAGGAGACAACAACACAGGUCAGGAGACAGCAACACAGGUCAGGAGACAACAACACAGGUCAGGAGACAACAACACAGGUCAGGAGACAACAGGCUGGUUGGAGUUGUGUGUGCGCGUGUGUGUGUGUGUGUGUGUCUGUGUGUGACACCAUGGAGGAAGGACUCAGCAGCACAGGUCAGGAGACAACAGGCUGGUUGGAGUUGUGUGUGCGCGUGUGUGUGUGUGUGUGUGUGUGUGUGUGUCUGUGUGUGACACCAUGGAGGAAGGACUCAGCAGCACAGGUCAGGAGACAGCCGUCUCGUUGGAGAUGAGCCAGGUCACGGCGUUCGCCGCCCAAUGCAUGCUGGGUAGCUCUGUGUCCGACUUGAUCCGGAUUCGCUCUGACGUCAUGCACACGUGGGCAACAAUAAGUCAAGUCGGCUUUAUUGUCAGAUGUUCUAUACAUGCAUGACAUACGGCACAAAUGAAAUUUCAGUCCUCUCAGACCCCCGGUGCAAAAUGCAAUAAAAAUAAAUAAGAGAAUUCUGGUCGAUUUCAGUUGUUUUUUGAUGGAAAAAAUAAGUUUUGGAAUAUUGGAUUGUAUGAGUUCGUCAACUGACUUGUGUGUACUUCACCGGAACACCGGCAGCUAAACAGAGGUAUGUGCACUAGAGGUGUUGAAAUUAAUCAAAUAAUCGAUGCAUGGAAUCAUGGACUUCGAAGAUGCUGCAUCGAUAAUCGGCCGGCUCAUAAUCAAUUAUUUCUGUUUA
Molecule: long non-coding RNA, 1054 nt
Organism: Perca fluviatilis (European perch)
Lineage: Eukaryota; Metazoa; Chordata; Actinopteri; Perciformes; Percidae
Exons: 3
Source: RefSeq, a predicted model, not a curated record